UGGGGAAUAUUGCACAAUGGAGGAAACUCUGAUGCAGCGACGCCGCGUGAUGGAAGAAGGUAUUCGUAUUGUAAACAUCUGUCUUCGGGGACGAUAAUGACGGUACCCGAGGAGGAAGCACCGGCUAAYUACGUGCCAGCAGCCGCGGUAAAACGUAGGGUSCAAGCGUUGUCCGGAAUUACUGGGUGUAAAGGGAGCGCAGGCGGUUCUUUAAKUUGGAUGUUAAAUCUACGGGCUCAACCCGUAUCAGCAUUCAAAACUGAAGAACUUGAGUGAAGUAGAGGUAGGCGGAAUUUCCAGUGUAGCGGUGGAAUGCGUAGAUAUUGGAAGGAACACCAGUGGCGAAGGCGGC
This 352-nucleotide ribosomal RNA is filed under the name uncultured bacterium. RNAcentral's name for it is "bacterial SSU rRNA". It matches the Rfam family "Bacterial small subunit ribosomal RNA", at positions 355 to 725 of the family's 1533-position model. The record is from RNAcentral.